GACGAACGCUGGCGGCGUGCUUAACACAUGCAAGUCGAGCGGUAAGGCCCUUUCGGGGGUACGACGAGCGGCGAACGGGUGAGUAACACGUGGGUGACCUGCCCUUAGCUCUGGGAUAAAGCCUGGGAAACUGGGUCUAAUACCGGAUAUGACUCCAUGACGCAUGUUGUGGGGUGGAAAGCCUUGUGCGGCUAGGGAUGGGCCUGCGGCCUAUCAGCUUGUUGGUGGGGUGAUGGCCUACCAAGGCGACGACGGGUAGCCGGCCUGAGAGGGCGACCGGCCACACUGGGACUGAGACACGGCCCAGACUCCUACGGGAGGCAGCAGUGGGGAAUCUUGCGC
RNAcentral lists this ribosomal RNA (342 nucleotides) under uncultured bacterium. RNAcentral's name for it is "bacterial SSU rRNA". It matches the Rfam family "Bacterial small subunit ribosomal RNA", at positions 28 to 369 of the family's 1533-position model. The record is from RNAcentral.